This 443-nucleotide ribosomal RNA is filed under the name uncultured bacterium. RNAcentral describes it as "partial 16S ribosomal RNA". It matches the Rfam family "Bacterial small subunit ribosomal RNA", at positions 338 to 795 of the family's 1533-position model. The record is from RNAcentral.
CCUACGGGGAGCAGCAGUGGGGAAUAUUGGGCAAUGGACGCAAGCCUGACCCAGCAACGCCGCGUGAAGGAAGAAGGCUUUCGGGUUUUAAACUUGUUUUUUCAGGGACGAAACAAGUGACGGUACCUGACGAAUAAACCACGGCUAACUACGUGCCAGCAGCCGCGGUAAUACGUAGGUGGCAAGCGUUAUCCGGAUUUACUGGGUGUAAAGGGCGUGUAGGCGGUACUGCAAGUCAGAUGUGAAAACCAGGGGCUCAACCUGUGGAUUGCAUUUGAAACUGUAGUUCUUGAGUAUAGGAGCGGUAGACGGAAUGUAUGGUGUAGCGGUGAAAUGCGUAGAGAUCAGGCGGAACACCAGUGGCGAAGGCGGUCUGCUAGACAGCAACUGACGCUGAGGCGCGAAAGCGUGGGGAGCAAACAGGAUUAGAUACCCGAGUAGUC